RNA transcript from Pseudophryne corroboree (corroboree frog), 1682 nucleotides. It is a transcript of the gene named choline phosphotransferase 1, with no coding region annotated. Lineage: Eukaryota; Metazoa; Chordata; Amphibia; Anura; Myobatrachidae. The record is from RefSeq and is a predicted model, not a curated record. The transcript has 9 exons.
UGCACAUAUGCUAGUAAAGUCCACACACCACACAGAUGUCCCUGUUCAUGUGUAGCUGUGAUGCAACUGUUUACACUGAGCAACUGAUUAAUCGUCAGCAGCGGCUCUGCUCUUCCGGGAUACUGCUCCUGGUCCGGCCCCCUGAUCCUGCUGCUGCCUGGGACGUACGGCGCCUGUUCCCAAACAGGAAGGAGCGCUCAGCGCAGGCGGCCGGGUGGUCUGCAGGCGCAGCAGGAGGAGAGGAUGGCCGGUGUCCUGUGUCUGCCGGAGCCCCUCACGGCCCUGCAGCUGCGGCGGCUGGAGGAGCACAAGUACAGCGUCUCCGGCUGCUCCCUGCUGGAGCCCUACAUGCAGAUCUAUUGGAACUGGCUGGUGACGAAGGUGCCACUAUGGAUGGCACCCAACACUAUCACCAUGGUGGGAUUAGUGAUGAAUGUAGCUACCACCCUCAUCCUCGUCUACUACUGUCCCACGGCCACCGAGGAGGCUCCAGCUUGGGCAUUCCUGCUCUGUGCCUUAGGUCUGUUUGUCUACCAGUCACUGGAUGCUAUUGAUGGAAAACAGGCACGAAGGACAAACAGUAGCUCUCCACUUGGAGAACUAUUUGACCACGGAUGUGACUCUAUAUCUAUAGUGUUUGUUGCAGUGGGGACAAUUGGUGCGGUGAGACUUGGAACCAUGCCCAGCUGGAUGUUCUACUGCUGCUUUGUCAGCAUGUUCAUGUUCUUCUGUGCUCAGUGGCAGACGUAUGUGUCCGGCACACUGAGGUUUGGAGUGAUUGACGUAACAGAACUUCAGCUAUCUGUGACCGUGGUCUUUUUGCUGUCUGCAUUUUGCGGAACAACUUUUUGGGACUAUGAGAUUCCUAUGACUGGACUACCACUAAAAGUCUUUCCUCUUAUUGGGAUCAUAUCGGGAACAAUUUAUUCCUGCAGCAACUAUUUUAGAGUGAUUCUCAGCGGUGGAGUAGGCAAGAAUGGAUCUACUGUAGCCGGAACCAGCGUUCUUUCUCCUGGCCUUCAUAUUGGACUGGUUCUUACACUGGGACUAAUGAUUUACAUUAAGUCAGCAACUGACUUAUUCUACAAACACCCGGCUCUUUACACGUUAACAUUUGGGUUUGUGAGUGCCAAAAUUACUAUCAAGCUUGUGUUGGCUCAUAUGACAAAAAGUGAAAUUUAUGUUCAAGAUACUGCGUUUAUUGGACCAGGACUUUUAUUUCUUAAUCAGUACUUUAAUAGCUUCAUUGAUGAGUACAUUGUUCUAUGGUUAGCUCUCGUUAUUUCAUUAUUUGAAUUGCUGAGAUACUGCAUAGGUGUUUGCCUGCAAAUAGCAACACAUCUGCGAAUAUCGGUCUUCAGAAUCCCUUCUGUCCCAGCUACUGAGCAGGUUCAAAAUCAAAAACAUAAUGACUGACUGCUUAAAUAAAUGGAGGAAAAGUAACCGGGUGGGAGACAAAUAAUCUAUGCUAAUUCAUAUGGUACUAAAGAAACAAUGGAUUGAAUUAAUAAUAAUUUUUGUACAAGUUAUUCCUUCAGGGACCCAUCAGAAUAACAUUGACUGAAGAGACUUUCGAACACUUGCCAUCUCUUGCUGUUGCUGGCAGAAGAAAAAGCAUGAAAUCUGUUACACUAUUUUUAUAUUUAUCUCAUAUUUUCAUAAUAAAGCUUAUAGAGACAGAA